RNAcentral lists this ribosomal RNA (381 nucleotides) under uncultured bacterium. RNAcentral describes it as "bacterial SSU rRNA". It matches the Rfam family "Bacterial small subunit ribosomal RNA", at positions 28 to 409 of the family's 1533-position model. The record is from RNAcentral.
GACGAACGCUGGCGGCGUGCUUAACACAUGCAAGUCGAGCGGUAAGGCCCUUUCGGGGGUACACGAGCGGCGAACGGGUGAGUAACACGUGGGUGACCUGCCCUCAGCUCUGGGAUAAGCCUGGGAAACUGGGUCUAAUACCGGAUAUGACUCCAUGACGCAUGUUGUGGGGUGGAAAGCCUUGUGCGGCUGAGGAUGGGCCCGCGGCCUAUCAGCUUGUUGGUGGGGNGAUGGCCUACCAAGGCGACGACGGGUAGCCGGCCUGAGAGGGCGACCGGCCACACUGGGACUGAGACACGGCCCAGACUCCUACGGGAGGCAGCAGGUGGGGAAUCUUGCGCAAUGGGCGAAAGCCUGACGCAGCGACGCCGCGUGGAGGAU